AUCAAGGCCCUUUUCAGGGCCGCCCAUCUUUUCACUUUAAAAGAGU
This is a non-coding RNA of Dipodomys ordii (Ord's kangaroo rat), 46 nucleotides long. The record is from Rfam. Lineage: Eukaryota; Metazoa; Chordata; Mammalia; Rodentia; Heteromyidae.